This is a non-coding RNA of Coturnix japonica (Japanese quail), 18692 nucleotides long. Lineage: Eukaryota; Metazoa; Chordata; Aves; Galliformes; Phasianidae. The record is from RefSeq and is a predicted model, not a curated record.
UAUACGGCUUGCUGAUUGGUGGCUCCCCGUCCUUUCCUGUCAGCUGAUUGGCGGGCGGUGCCGAGGCCGCGCGGGAGGCGGGAAGGUCGGACGCUGACGGAGCAGUCGCCUCAGUUAUAAGCCAGAAAUAAACAGGGAAAAGCAGCAAUGUCUUCUGAUGUGUCUCAAUAUACAAUUGGGGGAGUGAAGAUUAUGUUCCCUUGCAAGGCUUAUCCGUCGCAGCUUGCUAUGAUGAAUGCUAUUGUUAAGGGCUUAAAUAACAAGCAGCACUGUUUGUUGGAGAGCCCCACAGGAAGUGGCAAAAGCUUGGCAUUGCUUUGUUCUGCAUUAUCAUGGCAGCAGUCUCUGUAUGAGAAAUCACUGCUCAAAUCAUCAUGUGAAAAGGAGGACAGGGAGCCAGCAGCCUCAGCGCCGUGUCGCUGUGUGUGUCAUUCCCGAUCCGAGAGCAGCGAGGCGGCUGCAGGGGCGAGUCGUGGUGCUGCAUGUUCUAAUUAUGAAACAGGAGGCUCUGUAAAAACUGGAGGCCAACAAACAGACACAGAAUGCAAGGACAACAAUACCCUGGCUUCAAAACUGUCUGCCAAAAAAAGGGCAUCGGUCGGUGGAACUGAGAGUGAUGAUUUUCAAGUAGACAGGAAGAGGAUUCGACCUUUAGAAACAGAGCAGCAGGUUAGAAAACGUCACUGCUUUUCAAAAGAGGUGCAGCUGGUUGAUGCUUUAGAAGUUUAUAAUCAGAGAAAAAACGGGGAGCUGAUUGUUCACUGUGAAAAAAGUGUGAGAAACACGUCUCCCCAAACGCUUUUCAGCCCUUGCACGGAGUGUUCCUGUUCCUCUGGAAAAGAAACUCGUAAAGAUGCUGGUAACACAAAGAAGAAAGCAAAUGGAGAUCAAACAUUCAUUCCCAAAAUAUUUUUUGGAACACGAACACACAAACAAAUUGCUCAGAUUACCAGGGAGCUGAAGAGGACAGCGUAUUCUGGUGUCUCUAUGACAAUUCUCUCUAGCCGGGAUUAUACCUGUAUUCAUCCAGUGGUGUCCAAUAGUAGUGGUAACAGGAAUGAACUGUGUGUAGAAUUACUGGAAGGAAAGAAUGGCAAGUCCUGCCUUUACUAUCAUGGUGUUCAUAAACUCAGUGAACACUUUGCCCUGCAUUCUGCACAUAACACGUACCAGGCUUGGGACAUUGAGGAUCUAGUGAGCCUGGGAAAGAAGCUUCGUGCCUGUCCAUACUUUGCAGCCAGAGAACUCAUGGUGGGGGCCGACAUUGUGUUUUGUCCUUAUAAUUAUCUCCUAGACCCACAGAUACGGGAGAGUAUGGAAAUUAACUUGAAAGGCCAGGUAGUCAUUCUGGAUGAAGCCCAUAAUAUUGAGGAUAGUGCUCGGGAGGCGGUGAGCUACAGUGUUACAGAAAGUCAAGUGAAUGCUGCUCGAGAAGAGCUAGAUUUCAUGGUCAAUAACAACAUCAGGCAAAAGGAUCAUGAGCAGCUACGGGCUGUGUGCUACUCUUUGACAAACUGGCUACGGGAAAGCUCUAGUCAGCUGGUAGAAACAGGGUAUGAAACCUCCUGCAAGGUCUGGAGUGGAAAAGAAAUGCUCAACCAUUUUCAUGAAAUGGGAAUAACCAAUAUUAGUUUUCCUAUUUUACAGAAACACCUUUCUGCUGUCUUGGAAAAAGAAGAAAAAAUAUCCAUGUUUGGUAAAGAGGAACUUGUCGAGAUACCUAUAGUGAGCUCUGCCACUCAGAUUGUGCUGAAAGGGUUAUUCAUGGUUCUUUUCUAUCUUUUUAAAGAUAACAGCAGGUUUGCAGAUGAUUACAGAGUUGCUUUGCAACAAACUUACGCUUGGACAAAUGAAAACCAACCUGACGUUUCAGAUAGCAGUGCUUUCUUUACAAAGACCAAACACAAAAGGAAUUUGCGACAUAAAACUGUAGUCCACAUGCUUAAUUUUUGGUGCUUGAAUCCUGCUGUGGCAUUUUCAGACCUAAAUGAUGUCAGAACAAUUGUUCUGACAUCUGGGACACUCUCUCCAAUGGAUUCAUUUUCUUCUGAACUUGGUGUGAAGUUUUCUAUUCAGCUGGAGGCAAAUCAUGUUAUCCGGAACUCACAGGUUUGGGUUGGCACCAUUGGAGCAGGCCCGAAUGGUCGGAAGCUGUGUGCCACGUUCCAGCAUACAGAGACCUUUGAGUUCCAAGAUGAGGUGGGAGCACUUCUGCUUUCAGUGUGUCAAAAAGUUGGCCAAGGAAUUUUGUGUUUCUUGCCAUCCUACAAGCUGUUGGACAAAUUGAAAGAUCGCUGGAUACACACUGGCUUGUGGAGAAACCUGGAGCUUGUCAAGACAGUCAUUGCAGAGCCUCAAGGAGGAGCAAAAAGCGAUUUCGAUGAACUGCUGAAAAUAUACUACGAUGCAAUAAAAUUUAAAGGAGAAAAAGAUGGAGCACUCCUAAUAGCUGUGUGCAGAGGAAAAGUUAGUGAAGGCUUGGAUUUCUGUGAUGAGAAUGCCCGAGCAGUUAUAACCAUAGGUAUUCCGUUUCCAAAUGUGAAAGACCUUCAGGUCGAAUUAAAGAGGAAAUACAAUGAUCAGCACAAAACUACAAGAGGCCUUUUACCAGGGAGCCAGUGGUACGAAAUCCAAGCUUACAGGGCUCUGAACCAGGCCCUGGGAAGGUGUAUAAGGCAUAGGAGUGAUUGGGGUGCCCUUAUCUUAGUUGAUGACCGCUUCCGGAAUAACCCUAACAAGUACAUAACUGGAUUAUCUAAAUGGAUUCGUCAACAAGUCCAGCAUCAUGAAAAUUUUGGUAGUGCCCUUGAAUCCUUACACGCAUUUGCUGAAAGAAACCAGAAAGGCAUUGAUUGUUCGUCACAGUGUAGCAAUGAAUUUUUCCAUGUACCUUUAAAUGUGAAAGAGCUGUCAUCGGCUUCUCAACAGGAGGCAACUAUUCACCUGUCACCAGAUGUUCCUGUUAAAAGUGAGGAGCAAAGUUUGGUCCAAGAAACUCAUUUAACUGCAACCAUCGACUCAAUUAAUCCUGAACCAUCAAAUCAGCCACGUAAUAUCACAGCAAUAAUACAACAAAGUGGCCAGAAAGUUGAUGUAGAGAGUCAUUCUCACAACGCAACACAAAGGAGAAAACAUAUGGACUCCACACCCAGAAGGCCUGCAACUAAAACAGAGAAAAAGAGUGAUUGGACUAAUUCUGAUUUUAUGAAAGGGCGCUGCUGCUUUAAACCACUGACUUCAACACCUUCGCCUGUAGCCAUGAACUGUGUGUCCACAGCAAGCAGCGAACAAAGGGAGAAUGUGAACAGAGCUAGUGAACUUAUUGGUGGUGUAAAUCAAUGCCAGUCAUCAUUCACUUUAGAACAUAAACCAAAUAUACGAGAAUCACAUUUGGAAACAACUAAUUUUUCAGUCAAAAAUACAGAGGCUCCUGAGGAGCAUCUUGAUGAGCAAAAACUUCAAAUCGAACCCUGUAGUGGGCUUCCUUCAGUAGGAGGGAAACCUGAAUUGUCAGUGUUAGAAAUGUCGGCAGAAGCUGAGGAUGAAGAUGAGAGUAUUUACUUCACACCAGAGCUUUACGAUGGUGAAGAAUCAGAGGAAGGGAAAAUAAAAGCCCCAGAUCCAGAUGAGAAUCAGAUUGAAUGUGGAAAACCCACAGUAGCUGAUGAUCUUUUUGUAAUCAAUACCUCGAAAACACUAAAUGAACCAAAAGAAAUUAUUAAUGAUGAUGGCAGAAACAGAAGUUUACAUGGAACGAUGCCGAGUGAUAUCAGUAAGAACAGUGCAGUUAAUAUUGAAAAGAUGACUAAUGGAAAAGAAGCAGAUCAGGUAGAAUCUCAAGAGGUGGACACCAAGAAACGGAAAAUCAGUCUUUCUAGAUCACGACAUAAAGGAUUGAAAGUUCAGAGACAGUACAGAAGAGGAAAAGCUACUGUUAGGGCAAGAGGAAACACCUGUGAAAGAAAGAAGGAAAACAAACGACCUUGCAAGAGAGGACUUUAUUGUAUUAUCUGCGGGGCAGAAAUACUACCAAAAGCAGAAGGCAUUUUGAGAAAAACUUGUCAUGGUGAUAUUGAGCUGAAAAUAAUCUUGAAACUCUUCAAAAAUACUCAUGUAAGAAGUAAGGAAUCCACUAAUAAAUGUACAUGUAAACUAGAUGUCACUUCAGAUGAUGAUAACGUGAUGUUGGUCAUCUCAGAUGUUGCGAGUCUCAGUCAUCUUAAGGAAACUUUGAAGAUUUAUCAGACGCCAGUGAAAAACAAAGGCACAAAUGCCAGUUUAUCUUUAAAUGCUGUUUGGAAUGAGAAGGAGUAUUCUCUGACAAGUUACUUACAGUGCAGGAACUGCCUUUUCCAGUCAGUGUCUCCAUGCCCUUUGAUAGGAGCUGAGGUUACUCAUUUCAGCAGUGAAGUACAGUCAUGGGUCUGGCUGCUCCCAUCGUCUGUUCAUUAUUGCUUACUGCUACAGAGCCCUCAGAAACGGAAAACAGGCAACUCAGAUUAUACUUUAUCUUAAAAGAUUUUGCUGAUCUCUACCACAAAUUCAUCAGGACUAAUGAGACAGAUAAGUAAAGGAUUUUGUUAUUACAUGCUAACUCCAUAAAGAUACUCUGGGGUAAGCGGAGAGGUGGUACAAUCUUUGUGUGUGAGUGAUGGGAAGGAGCUACCUGGUUACAAAUUCUGGCCCCACUGAAGUCAGCAGGGGUUUUGCCAUUUGCCUUCAACAAAGCAAAGGGUUUCACCAUGUGUUUAACAGGAGUAUUUUGCUGGAACUGUUGUCAGCAUAGUAGUAAACAUACACUUCAAAAUUUCCCUUCUUUUUCACAUUUAAAUGUUUGUUCACCUUUCUUAUGCUUGGUGGUAAUUUGAUACAAAAAAAAUCUCUUCAACUUCAUUUUAUUCCAGGUAGGUUUUGAAUUGGUUCAUUUUUUACUUCUUGUGUAUUUAGAGACCCCACGUGGCAAUGUCUGGCCUAUGAACACAGUAGGGGAAUGUUCACAUAUUUUGUAUUGCUGGGAUUUAAAUUGAAUUAAAUAAAAACAGAAAUGAAAACAUUUGCAUUUGUUUAUGUAAUUAAAAAAAAAAAUCACAUAAAGCUGGGCCUGAGCUAGCCGAGAAUAUCCCUGUAAUGAACACAAGGCUUCACCUUUUUGCAAGCACACAGUAACUGGAGAGGCGCACAUAUCAUAUCUACCAUAUCAAUGACAUUUUAGAGUAUGUUAAAAAAAAAUACUCUAUUUGUCUUAGGAAAUAUCGAAAACUUUUAUAGGGAAUUUGGAAAAUAUUUUUUGGCCAGCAUGAAAGGUGAAAUCCUGCAGCACAAAGUACAGACAUGGGCACAGAGACUGAACAGACGGGCUGCUGUAAAACAACCAUUUAAUAAGGCAUUAAAAUGCCAUCGACUUGGACACAUAAAAAAAAAGCUAUGAAAACAAAUGCCUUUCAAAUAAUUAGGAUCUUAUGCUAGAGACCAGUGUUGAUCUCUAUGCAGAGAUUUUCCUGCUGAAAUCAGACCAGCCUAAGUCUGAUCGUCUAAGGAAGGAAUUAGCAGCGUAUAAAUCGGCUGCUGCUCGAGAUUUUUCUGUUUCUGCCAUACAUAACCAUUCAUUUAAAUGGCCACUUCAGACUUUCUAUCUCCUUCUUUCUGUUUCCUAGAGUAGUUUGAAACACAUUUGACUUAGUAUGCCAGAAUAAUUUUUUAAUUGAAUCUCGAAUUUUUAUCAUGAGUAUGUGAAAGGGUUGAAUUACCAGCUCCUGCCCACACUGUGUAAGUGAAUCUGAGCCAAAUGCAGCCAGAAAUAGCAACAGAACCCAGUUCUGUUCUCCAAAACAUGGUGUGACUUUGCUUUCACUUGAAGUAGUAUGCCUGUGUAAGGAAUAGCACUAGUCAGUAGUGAUAGCUGGUGUGUAUAAUGCAUCAAAAUUAUAUAAAUCUGUCCUUCAAGAACAGUUUUAUCACCUAUAAUGUAUACAAAUACAAAAACAAGAAGUAGAGCUGACCGUUUGUUUCUGUAUUAACUUCUGGAUCUCUGCUGUCAUGGUAGUCCUGAUCUGGAUACCUCAAAAAAGAUGCUCUGGUUACAAAGAGCAUCUUCCAAACAACAGCACCUGUAAUAAUGUUAAUGUUUUAAAAAAAUAUUAAUAAAAAUAAAAGCGAUGUUGUCUGAGAGAUGAGCAUCAAAUUCUCAACUUUAAGCUGGAAUUUAAUAGAUUUCACAGAAGAAAUGUUUAAUGAAUAUUGCUUUUCACAUACAAUAUUGUUUUGAUCUCCAUUUAACUAUGCACUGACAUCGAUAAUCUUGAGUAAAUGAACGUAUGGUCCUUCUGUAUUCUGCUUUGUUUCCUGUUGUGUCGUUAGCCAGCAGUUAACCCCUGAGGCACACGUUUUUAAACUUCUAAUCUUUCUUUCAGAUCUGUUAUUUCAAGUACUCUUAAAUUUUGUGUUUUUAACACAGAAUUUGACACAGAUGAAAACCCCAUGUGUAACUCCCAUAGCUAGGCAGAAUAGGAGAUCUUUCUCUUGAUAUUAUGAUUUCUUCUAUUAAUCAGUUUUAUAUGACUUUCUGCUAGCCCAGAUUUUAAAGGUGUGAAAGCUUGCGCCACAGAGGUAUUUUAUAGAUUGCAAUCAUAAUUUCUGAAUAAGAUUCUAAAUAACUGGUCUGGUUAUAAAGCUUUGGGCGCAAUUUUUAGGUUCCUGGGAACUGCUGUUAAACCUCUGUUGCCAUUUGGCUAGAAGUACAUCCCAAUUAGUGACCCUUCUAUCUCGCAGUAGCUGUAUGUGAGUGAAUUUAUUUUUUUUUUUAAGUCAGUCGUAAAUGAUUAGUCCAAAAGAGUAGCAUAAAACUUCGAGCUAGUCCCCUGCAGGAGUCGGCUGGAGGAAAUUAAAGGAUCAACAACACAAGGGAAGCACUGAGGUAGGAUUGUUCCAGGCUGCAGCCACAGGCUUUCACAUGCACUCAGGAAAUUGACUUCAUCAAAAGCUGAGGAUGCAGGCGUGAGGAUGAGGAGGAUAACACAGGUGAUGAUUCUAAAUCAUGGCUCAAUAUCACAGCGUUUUCCAAGGGAGGGACUCUGUCCCCGCCCUGAAGAAAGCAGGUUUUCUAUAUAAAAAUAGUCUUCUCCUUAUGAAUUAAUAAAAGUUUGGCACAAAUCUGAGCUAUAAAUCUAAUAUAACUCAAUAAAUAAUGAAGACUCGGUUUCCCAAAAACAAUAUCAGUUGGACGUGGGUGUUUUUUUUGCACAAGAAAAACAUGACUCCUUAUAAGCUCCACUGCUCAGUUCAGAGCAUUAUUGCCCUGUGCACGUAUUUGUGUUUGUGAGAGCUGUAAAACAAAGAACUCCAGAGUGCUUGGGACUUAGAGGCAGACAAGGAGUUUUCUUUAAUGCUUCUAAGUAAAUUCUUGCUGCAGAAAUUCGGAUAUUCUGGGUCUGUGAUGAAGCUGAAACCUUUCUAGUGGAGUUGGAAAGAGUCGCGAGAGGGGAAAUGCAUAAAUCUACAUCUGGAGCCAAGUAUGCUGGGAAGGCGUAAAGAGAUGGGGGAGCAGGAGUGCCAGAACAGGGCUGAGAGCAUGAAAUUCAGCGGGGAAAAGUAGGAGAAAGAAAGAGGAAUGUCCCAGGAAUUAAGCUCUUAUAACGUUCAAAUCUUUCCUCGGAAGUAAAACUGUGGAAGGCUAUAAUCCAAAUAAGGAAAUUAGAACAAAAAUUAACAAUAUUCAGCUAUUCAGAUGUCAAAAGAAACAGCAGAGUUAUUGGUGUUAGAGGUUAUUGCCAGGAGGGAAAAACUCAGCAUGCUUUGGGUAAUUAAGCUUCAUUGGAGAGCAUGGAUCCCUUCUCCAGGUAAGAAAUGCUUUUAUAACAUGGCAUCUUUUGCUAUUGUAAUUAAACACCAUGGACUAUUCUGAAUAUGAAGUCUUAAACACUUUAGUCCUUUAUCAUGGGAUUUUACUGGCCAGGCAUGUGUGUUCUUAUGGCAAAAAGCAUUGACUGCUAUAAAAAAAAGAAACCCAAACAUUUCUUUUUAUGACUUGACUUGCUGUAUUUUUAUAUAUAUUGAGCCAAAUCCAUCCCUUGUGGAGCUCAGUUGUAGCCAAUAAGGAUAGAUUUGGCCCAUGUCUAUAUGAGAAAGGUGGUGACAAUUAAAAUAUAUUGUUUAAUAAUGAGAGCUAUGGUAGUGAAGUGUCUUUGUGUCUAUGAAAUUAUACACCACGACACCACGCUGCCAGUAGAGAGUGGGGCUAGCAAAACACAUAAGAGCAGUUUCUGAUGGAAAGGCAAAAGCACUCUAACUUUUAUUAUUAUGAUUAAAUAUCACAAAGGCAAGACUAAUUUAGGUAACAUCUCCAGAAGUCUCAUUUAUAGUGUAGUAUUUUGCCACGGUGCAUUUUAAAAUAUUUCUUGAAUGUCAUUAUAUGUGGCUAUCAAGGGUAGUAUGACUGGCUGCCAUUAGCAGUAAGUAAAAGAACGGUUCUUAUUUCAUUUAUAUUUUAGUGAUUUUCAGUAAUACUGCAAAAAGGAAUGCAUCCUAUUAAAUGAAAUGUGCGGACAGCCAUUAUUAUCACUUUAUAAUGGUAGUUCCCAGCAGUUCCUCUGUGUGUGCAUUGCACCAACACAUGAAAACCAUUGCUGAUACCCUGAAGAUCUUCAGAUCUUGCCUACUUAGGCAGUGAGAUAUACAAAGCUUAUUGCACAGACAACCAGGUCGUCUGUACAAAACCUGAACAAAUGAGUUUUGUUUGGCUCCUUGACAUGGUGGGUUGCAGGAAGCAACUCUUCCCUUGUAUCCCUGUUGGUAAGUUAUAACAACUUUUAUAUGUCAGAGCCUUACUGAACUGUCUGCUGACUUGUAUCCCUUUACUGAAGAUAUUUUGGUAAUGGAUACUCACAGCCAGUAACCACAGCCUUAAACCCAAGCUCUUCAAUAGGGUUGCCAGAAAGCCAGGCUCAGGCAUGCUGCUCUGUAAAGAGCUGAGCACUUAGAGAACUCUGGUCAGUAGCAAUGGAGCUCAGGAGCAAUGGCUGAAGGCAAUACAUUGCCCUGCUGAGCUAAUGGGCUCCGGCUGAAAAGGUACCUCUUAAAUGAGAAUAAUAAUUUGGGAAGUCUCUGGCCCUCAAAAACAGAGGAAAAGAAAAUGCGCAACAGAAAUUCUUCUCACUGUAAUUAUUACUCAUUCUGAAUCUCUAUUAUAGAAAUCUGGCCUUUGGCAUUGGAUUAAGACAAUGUUUUAUUAGAAGAAAGCAUGAUUCAUCGAAUUGAUGCACUGCAGUAUCUGUGGAAAGGAAAACUGGGAAAGACACAAAAGAAGCUGGGCUAUGGAAAACCAUUGCCAGAGAAUCUCAAUCUGCACUAAAAAACAACAAAAAAGAAGAAAGUAUUUCCAAAGAAACAUCUGAGCAUAGCACUGGAGCCAAGUGAAGAAUUAGUACUACAUUAGGCUUUCAGAAUGGGGCAUGCAGUGUAUGUGGUACAAUACCCUGUCAUUUUGAAAUUAAAGAAAAGUGCAUGUGUUCCACAUCAAAACUCAGAUUCUCAGAAGAUUUGUUUGCAUGCUGCCAGUUGCUUUUGCUCUUUGUCAAGAAGAGUAUUUUUAUUUUCAAGUUACCAUUUUCUCUCUCUCUCUCUCCUCCUUUUUGUUUUCAAGUUCACCAUUUCCUUGUGUUUAGUUCCUUGCUGUUGACUUACCACUUCCAUCCCUUUGCUGUCUGUAGCAUGAAUAUUGAUUUUCAGGCAAUCUAAUUCACUGCUUUGCAAAGGUGAGUAAAGAUUAUUUUCACAUUGUGCAUGACAGAUACAAAGCAAAAAUUAAGUAGUUUAUUAAUGGCUGUAGGCUGAAUCAUUGCUGAGCAUAUUCAGACUGGAAAUCUCAAACUUCACUGGAGUCCUUAGACAACCAUUUGAAGCUGUUUUUGAAAUCUUUUGAGUUAAUUGCACAGCUUGCAAGACCAGCUUUUCCUUGUGUACUAUGCUGGGAACAGGAAACACGGCAUGCUCCACAAGUUCCUCCGUUGGUGCCAUCCUGUGGCCAACCCUGCUUCUCCCUACCUGUGUCACACAGGGGCAAAUGCUCAGAGGAUCCACAGAGACACUCACUUGCCACUCUCUAAAUGUGCAGUAUUUGUUGAAGGCUGAGAUUUGCCUUUUUGCUUUUCCAUGCACAUCCGUACAGUUUGCUUGCAUUAACACCUCCCAGUCUUGAAGUGCUUAGGCAACAUUUAUACAGAGUUAAACCCCCGCUCUCUUUGCAUGUUCCAUAUGAAGAAAUGUAGAAAUACUAAGGGGCAUCCAUACAGAACUUUGUGUGACAGGCAUGUGCUCACUUCUAGCAGUAAGUGUAAAUGCAGUCUUUCUCUGUGACGCUGGACAGAAAUCCCAGUGGAAGUUUUUCCUGCCUCCAACCUGUCUACUUUCUUUCAUAAUGAUAAAUGAUGGGAAAGCUUGAGGGAGGAGGGAAACUAUCUAAGCUUUGAACUGAUUGUGCCUGUAGAAGGAUGGGAAAGGAGAAUGUUGAUUCGUUUAAAACAGAACUUUCAUAUGGCUAAUACCUUAGAUAUUUUUCUCAUUUUGAUCUUUUUUUUUUGCAUUCUGAUAAGUAAGUUUAAGGCUAAAUCAUUACCCAGAGAUGUCUCAUCAGGUAAGACAAUGUGGCUACUUUUAUUUUCCACUUUAAAUUUAAUUGAUUACCUUUCCCAUCUCCAUUUUAUCCUGCACAUAGUUGCUUGGUAGCAGUCACCUUUGCUUUCAGUCAAGGUAUCCAUUGCGUGCUGACUGUUUCCCAUUACCUCUGAAGCACAAAGCAAGUUCAUCACCUUUCCAGAAUGUCUUGUGAUUGAUUCCUCAUGUCUGGGGAAAUAUGCUCUAAAGUUUCAGGCUAAAAUGAGCGCUUGGAUUUAGUGUGGAUAAUCAGUGGUUUAAGACUUAUUCUUCUUAUGAACUAUUCAUCUAUUUAUUAGAUACACAACUAAUAUUAAAUAUAAUAUAAUGUGUUAAAUUUAAAAUGUUAUUAUUCCCUCAGUAGCUGCUCAGAUGCACUGGGCAUGACUAAAUCAUAAUUUGCAGAGUGUGUCUGCGUCAUCCAUCAAACACAACUACUCUCUGCCUCAGACCUAACCUGUGCACAGCAAAGCCAAGGCUGAAAGCCUUGAAAAGAAGAUCAGAGGCCUGGUCUUGCCAUGCUGAAAUCUAUAAAAGUUUUCCUACUGACUUCAACAGAAACAGGACUAAGCCUUAUGAUUCUGGCAGGAAAAUCUGAGAAUAUUCCUUUACAACUCUCUACUGAAUUCAAAACUCCCGAAUACGUUGUUGUCAACCUUACGUAAGAUAGAGACUGUCAAGGAAAGAUAGUAGUUUUGCACAUACUGUUCUCUGCACAUAUUGUUCUUUAGUAAAUAUUUAUCAAAGGAUGCAUCCAUUCCUGCUGGCAGCGUCCGAGGCAUUGGACAAAUUUGGCCUGAUUUCCUGCUGUCAGUGCAAACCUCCCAACUAGAAGCUGCAUUUAUCAAGUUUUGUCUUUCAAAACUGUUAAAAUCAUUCUUAUCCAAGUAGAUAGUGCUGACAAAAAAUGGUCAUUUGAUGAAAUACUCUUUAAAAAAAGACGCGUUCUCCAGCUUGUAAGUACAACCCCACUGAAAAUAUUCAUCAAAACUGUAACAAAGCACGGCUAAAGGCCAAAGAUUUGUAUUUGCUGAAAACCAAGGAAAACGGCAACAAAAAGAAAACCAGAUGAAAGCUUGUUGGCACUUGCAGGAUACUUGUUUUUGCCUCUUACCCUCUACUAUUUGUGGAACUAAAGCCUUUUGACCUGUUCUAGCUAUUCCUCCCAUUUUCAUUUCAGUGUGUUUUAUUUUUCCUUUGCUUGAACAAGUUUAUAAUUAACAGAAAUCAAAAUAUUUUCAUUGAGCUAGUGUUAUCAGCACUUUGCACCAAUUUAUAUGCCCUUUUAUUUCCUCUUUUAAGCUCUUUUUAGGUCAGACUCCGGCUUGGGGCUGCGCUUUGGUGCACUCUGUGCAAAGGAUAUGGCGGCUAAGCAGAAAAGGCUCAGAUCCCAAAGCCUCAGGGCUUACUACCACCAGAUGCCUGAGCUGAGAGAUCUCUUUUGGAGUGCAGUUCUUCUGGAAGAAAACCUAAGGAGCUGCAGCUGCGUCUUCUCUACCCAUGCCUGGUUGUCCAGGUGGGAGCGUGACCUCCAUGGCGGUGGCCUCAGGACUUCCUCACUGCGAGCAGCCACCCUCGUUCAUCAGCCUCUCUUCGUUGGAAUGGAUUCAUCCAAAUGCAGAAGUGCCUCCCGACUUCCAAGUGUGUAUUUCAGCCUUUUGCCUUUUGCCCAGCUGGGAAGCAGGGGGUGGGAAGAACAAACCCAACCCCCCUAUUCACGACUAAAGCUUCAGUACUGUGCUCUUUAGUGGAAAAAGCUCCCAGCACCACCGCUGCACACCUCAGCAGCGCAGAGAAGGACGCAGACCCUGCUGCAGGGCUUUUCAGGUGAAAUCAGAGGGAGUUUUGUUCCAUAAGGAGCACAGCUUCCUCCCGCGUGAGUCAGCUCAGCGAUUCUCAGUGCCUCCUGGGGGCACCCUGCAGGCAAAGUUAGCACGGACGGAGUCAGCUCAAGAUACUUCCACGGUAAGCAAUGGUAACAACCUAUACAUUGGUCACAGAUUUUUACCUGCUCUACAAAUAGUUGUACACUGUAAAGCCUGACAGGCAACGGGAACUCCUCCUGCUCCCACCCCACAAUUAAAGACUGCUUCUCUAUGCCUCCUUUAUGCUGAAAACAAUUCUUCCCAAGUUAGCUGCAAAAGAAAAAAAAAAAACAAAAAAACACAUAGCACAAAAGGCGCGUUUCAGUUGAAUGCGAAAGAAAUGAAGGACCAGCAAAUACAGAAACCCUUCUUUCUGGAAAGUAUUAGCGACUUUUAAGCUUAAACUUCAUAAAUAUAUUGCAAUAAGCAAGUGUGAUUUGAUCAACAGAGUCUGAAGACGCUGGGUCUGUUCCUAAUGCUGCAAUUAAUUUGCUGUUUGGCCCAGGGCGUAACGCUUCACUUCUUGGUCUCCCACAGCCACGAUCAAUGGGUAAGAAGGGACAUUUGCACACUGGUGCUUCUCCUCUCUGCACCGCGCCGGGAGAGUCUGGAGUGGCACCUCACCACUGGCAUCAGAGGAAAGGGAAUUUCUGCAGGUGGACAGAGCCUAACACGUGCUGCUACAGCAGUCCUGGAGCUACACAGCCCAACAGAUCACUUCUUCCUUUGGUUUGGGGGAUUCUGUGACUUCGCAGACUGAGUACCAUACAGGUGAAGCUCGUGUUUUUCCCAAAAAGCCAAAAUCUGCUCUUGGAUGUUUACUGUUAUGGGCAAAAGCGAAUGACAGACAACUUCACUCGUUAGUCUAGAAGAUGGUUUCUACCAGAUCCAUAAUGAAGAUGUGAGUAUUAAUUCAUUCGGAAGUCAGUCAGUCAGAGGCUGAUGGAUCCAGGAGCUGGAAUUCUCAGUGUGCCCAGAGAUGGGCGCUCCCUGCACACACGUGCCCCUGGGAAAUGCAUGCUCGUCUCACCCAAGUGCAAGUUACCCACAGGUAUAACGCUGCCUUAGCACCGUCCUGGAGCGGUAACGCAAGCUGCGAGCACCGUCCUGGAGCGGUAACGCAAGCUGCGGCACCGCUGGGCCCGCGGAGUCACCCAUCCGUCCAGUUCUCCACCGUCCCCAUUCCUGAAUGGUACUGCAGCGAGGACUCCCGCGACAAGGAGAAGCUUUGGGAGUAGAGGAAUUCAUUGGCGGCAUUGAGGUGUGGGGAAGGUGGCUUCCUCUCACACACGGAUGGGUGAACCCUUUCCCUUGGGAAAGAUGAUGGGGGGACACGCUCCCGAACCUGAGACUGGGCCAGCUGGUUGUAGACGCUGAAGUGGCUGUUCCCCGGGGGCUGCGAGCCCUGCCCCGCGAUGGAUGGGAGCCGUGGCAUCAUGGUGGUGGCUGUGAAAUGGGCUGGGAAGGGCUGGUAGGGCACAGUUUCCAUUGUCUGAACACUGUAGCUGGUGUAAGGUGCGACAGAAGUCCACAUAUUGCAGCUCAGCGGGGGAGGUGGAGGCGGCAAGUCGUCCACUGCCGGCACGCCUGCGAUCUCAGCCCCUGACCCAGAGUACAUGCAGGCUUCCCGCGGGGCCACCUCGCUGCAGUAGGACGGGCUCAACAUCUGCUGCUCGUAGGGCGGUGGGGAGCGGAAGUAGUGAUCGUCGCCCACUGACGAUGAGGCCUCCAGGUAGGAGCGCUUGCAGGGCAGGUCCAGGUGCCGUGCGCUUUCUGCAGGAGAAGAAAGAGAGUUCAGGGAUGGGGUUGGGAUGGGACUUCAGUGUGGAGGAUUGUUCUGAUACACCACCACUGCUCUUUUUCAGAACAUUUCAGUUUGGAAAGAAAACGUGCAAUAGCAACAAGGCGUCGUGUUGCAAAUAUUGGAUUAAUCCCAUCAUCCUCCCAAGCAUGCUGAUGACAUUUAUCAGUGUAAGUGAGUGACUGUUCUCACAUCAGGGAUUACUUCACCUUCAUCCAGAUAACAGAGGUCCAUGGCACUCCUGCAGCACUACUCCUGACAAACUCAAGAAGUCUCUGAAAGGGUCUUAUCACAGCCUUCCUUCCUGUCAGUACCAAAAUCACUAUACAUUUCCCAGAUAUUUGUGUCAAAAGCUGCAGAAAUAUCUCAAGAUAAAGGAGACCUUUUCCAGCUGCCCAUCCUUCUCCUCAGUCUCACAUGCAGGAGCUCGUUAGCUGGUUGGAAUGCUGCAUUUAUGAACUCAUCUGCAAAUUAACAUCUGCUAGAAGGACACAUUUCCCUUACAGUCCUUAUUUCUGGUGGUAUUGGAUUCCUCAUUUGCCCACAAUCAGAGGAUUCUCACAGCUUAAAUAAAUUAGUGGCCAAUGAGACAUGCGAAAAGAAGGAUUUGGCUGCGUGAAUAAUUUUCCUUCUAACUUGAAACAUGCCAUGAUCUCAUCUGAUCUGGACUAAAAGGAAGAGAAUGCGGUUACAGCUCGCUUCAAGUUAGGACCAGCUGAUAAGGAGAAGGACACGUGGCCACCGCCACCCCACUGCUCUGCAUUGGGAUAACUAUGAUGGCUCCUCCUGCUAAGUGCUCAUCCAGUGCCGCUUCCUUAAUACUAAUGGCCAUGUUGGGACAUUUAAGGAUAGAUAAGGCCUUCACCAAACAAUUAUUAAUUCAUAUGACUUAUCAAGCGAUUAUUUUUCAGUGUGGCUUCAUUCCAUUUGAAUUAUGUGUACUGAUUGUUGUUCUUUUUUUUAAACUCAGGGUCUGAAUUUGCCUUCUAUGGGACAAAACCACUAACGACCACCCAAAAAUCCAGCUUGUGAGCCCUGACCCUCUGAAACACUUUGAUCACUUUGCAGAUUAAGGCCUAAGAGACACAUCCAAAACAAACUGGGAUUAUGGGAAUAUUUUUAUAUAUUCUGUAAAAAGAGUGUAAUUUCCAACCAAUAUGGGCCUGGCCGCAGCCUGCCAGAAAUAGCCACAUGAUGCACUCACUCACCCUUCCCCAGCUGGCCCAACGGAUGGACUGAGCUGCAUCUCAGAGGGGUCCUCACCACCACCAUAGAGGACCAAACCUCAAUGCUCUGCGCUCAUUCUGAUGCUGCACUGCUCAGCACUGUGUGCAAAACCAAAACAAGUGACUUUUCUGUCAGAGAGCCACCAUUGUGAGCAGCUCCAGCAACACCUCGUAGCAAGAGAUGAAGGGAAACCCAACAAGAAAGACAACAGCAAAGGAACGCAGAUCCCUGCAGCGAGCACCCUGCGGCCAUAAGGGCCAUCUCACAGGCACCCUCCGCUUUGUUGUUUACAUACUUGAAACCUCUGGAGAAAGAGGAAUUCCAUUCAUGGGCAUUUAUCACUGUGGAAGCACUUGUUGAGACUCGCUCAGUUUUUCCCCGUGUGCCCUGAGCUAACCCCUGACAGACACACCAACGUCCCGCGUCCCUUCCAGCAAGCGGUUGUUUUUGUGAUGUAACGAUGGCUCACACAGCUGAGGGCUCCAACAGCAUUUGGCAGGGCACAGCCUGCUUCCCCAGGGAGGAGUGAUGCUCAUCUUGUGCCUGGGAGCACAGCAGGCAGGAGGUGCCACCUUGUCUUCAUGUCCCCAUCACACAUCCCCAUGUCUUCAUGCUCCCACGUCCCUAUACUAUGUCCUUGUAUCCUUAUCCCCACAUCCCCAUCCCUGUCAGACAGUCACACUGACAGUCACCCAAAGCACACAUUGCUUAGCAAAACAUGAGCAUCAGGGUUUUGCUCAGAGCACUGGUGACUCAGUGCUCUCAUCAGCAUAAGAGCGACCUCUCCAAAGCCAAGCAUCUCACUGACUGCUGAUUUCUUAAUCCGUUCUCAACUCUGUUGCUCAGCCUGAUGUGAAAGGAACCUUUCAUGGUUGGAAAAUCUCCCACAAUCAGCAUGGAGCCUGCACCCCGCAGGCACUGCAUGAGGGCGCAUGUUCCCUCUGCUCCCACAGCUCCCCCAUGGGAGUCAGCAGGCAGAUCACAGUGCUCUGCACUUCAUUUCUUCUUGAAAAUUCAAUUUCUAUUCUAUUCUUCCCUGACGAACUGCACAGAGCUGUGCCAUUGCACAGCUGUCACAGCACCCGAGCAGGGCACGGCUCACUGAACAAGGACUGCUGCCCAUGGCCUGCAGUGCUGCCCCAGCGCAGCCUGGAGCUGUGGGUUUUGAGGUUUGGAGGAAAUCAAUGACAAAAGGAAACAGCCUGCCAGCAGCGCUGGAGAGCGAGAAGCAAACAAACCACGAGGCUUUCCGCACUUGUUUGCUUUAGGCUGCUUCAAGAGAGGGGCUGCGACGGCUGGGAUGGAUUCCUAGAAAGGAGAAGGAGUGAUUUGGCACAACACAGUGCCCUGUGCAGGAGUGGGACUGUGGUCUGCAGUAUUUCUUGCCCUGAACCUUCACAGGGAGUGGGUGCUGAGCCCAGGUUGUUCAAAAGCAAGUUGCUCAUUGAGCGGCCUCAAGAGGGUUUGUCGGAGAAGUGGCUGAACCCCACACAAAGGGAGCUCCAUCCGUGUCAUGGUACAGCUCCGUGGCAGGACAGAGCACUGACAGAAGGAGGAGGAAGGCUCUUCCCAACUCGAAAGCUGUGUUAAAAUUGCAGUUAAGUAAUGACACAGUUGGGAGAAGCAACCAUUUAGCAUUGCAAAAGCAACACCACACAUCCUGUUUGUUUUACGGUCACACCGAACAUCCUGUGUGUUUUAUGGUUUACAUUUUACAACAUAAACAGCAAUAUAUACUAAGCCACACUUCCAUGCAAAGGGAAAAUGCAAUAGGAUUGCAGGAGGGACACUGCACAGCGAGUGGCACAGGGCAGCUGUGCACACUUCAGCUCUGCCAUGAGGCUCUGCUUCCUCCUGCACAACCCCAUAGGGCUGUUCCCAUUUCACUGCCAUGAUGCUUUCACCCUUAAAGAUGAGUGAAGGAUUGGGGGUGGCUGUGAUUGAUAAUGUCAGCAUGGAGCCUUUGGGGUCAGCAAUCAGGGCAGGGGCAGGGCUGGCACGGCCGCUCUGCAGCAGCACCGGGACAUGUGUACAUGGCUUUGGGAGUGGGAAACUCACAGAAAACUGUGUGCACAGAGAACAUUCUGGACCCUAUUUCCCUCUCUCCACCCACUGAGGUUGGUUUGUUUCUAUGUGACUUUCAACUGGGACAGUAGAAGACAUCAGGUGUAUUGUUAAACACACUGGGGUAGAUAACUGCCCAUUUCUCACUACUGCAUUCACCAUAGACACUAAUUAAUAUAUUCCAAAUGAAAUACUCCAUCUUUUAUAGGACCACUAAAGCCAGCCUGGAGAAAAAAUGUCUUCAUGCAACUUGUUUCUGCAAGCUUCAGGGGCAACAGCUGGGCUUAAAACCCCACAAAAUCCCUGUGACCAUGCAACAGCCUAUUCUGCAUCCCUGCAUCUCACCCAGCACUGCAUCCAGCAUCCAUCCCUUCAUCCCACCCAGCAUGCUCAUUAUGGGCCCAACCCAAAGGAUUGCCCUCAAAGAACUUCUCUCUUACAUGCCCGAAGGGGUCCAGGUGGUUGUUGGUGAGCUUCAGCUUCUGGAAGGACACGAGCUGCCGCAUCCAGUGUGCUCCAGUGGCAGGUGAGUCAGGGUGCACGUACAGCCGGCCGGGCAUGGCUGGCUCUGCCUUCCCAGCCACCAUCCUGCAAGCACAGCAGUCAGAUUGCAGCACUGACAGCCCCACACAAAGCAUUACCAUCGACCUCCCCUUGCAAACCCCAGAGCAGCUGUGUCCUGGGGGCCAUACUGGGUGUCCAAGAGGCUCCCACUGCCCAUGGGAGCUCUUUGUCCAGUGUCACAGCUGGCAGAGCUGAGCCAUCAUCUCCUCGUGUCAUGGUGUUGACAUUCACCAAGGAGGACACCUUGUUUGGGUCUUUGGAGAAGGCUGGACACAGAUGGAGCCUUUCAAGGCCAUCCAGCAGAAGACACUUCUGCAGACAGCACUCAGUGUCAGCUCCUAUGGGACAGGGUUGGGUGCUGCCCUCUGCGCCCACAUCCCUCCUCUCCCACAUAUCCAGCCCAUCCACCAGCACUGACUGAUGUGAAACCUCACUGCGAUGCAUCGCUCCGUGGCAGCUCCCCCAUUACUGUGUAUUGUUCUUUUCUCAUAAAACACCAAUAAAAGCAUUAUGACCAAAAACAA